RNAcentral lists this ribosomal RNA (252 nucleotides) under uncultured bacterium. RNAcentral's name for it is "partial 16S ribosomal RNA". It matches the Rfam family "Bacterial small subunit ribosomal RNA", at positions 524 to 775 of the family's 1533-position model. The record is from RNAcentral.
UACGUAGGGUGCAAGCGUUAUCCGGAAUUAUUGAGCGUAAAGAGCUCGUAGGCGGUUUGUCGCGUCUGCUGUGAAAACUGGGGGCUCAACCCCCAGCCUGCAGUGGGUACGGGCAGACUAGAGUGCGGUAGGGGAGAUUGGAAUUCCUGGUGUAGCGGUGGAAUGCGCAGAUAUCAGGAGGAACACCGAUGGCGAAGGCAGAUCUCUGGGCCGUAACUGACGCUGAGGAGCGAAAGCAUGGGGAGCGAACAG